CCAGAAUUUAGUCAUAUACCAAUACCUGGAAAAUGUAAUAUCUAUGGGUGGUGCUAGUGGCAAAGAACCUCCCUGCCAACAAAGGUAGAGGUAGGGAUGCAAGUUCAAUCCCUGGGGUGGGAAGAUCCCCUGGAGAAGGAAAUGACAACCCACUUCGGUAUUUUUGCCUGGAGAACACCAUGGACAGAGGAGUCUGGCGGGCUACAGUCCACAGCGUCGCAAACAUCAGACAAGACUGAAGGAACCUAGCAUGCAUUCCAAGCAAAGAGGUAUCAAACAAAAAAUUCUGAUCUACUUCUGCAAAGGAAGGUGGGGGAAGAGUGUUCCCAUCCAGGUAGCAUCUAUCUCAAAGCCUUUGGACCGAUCUUCUGAGACGCAGCUGAAACCCCCUAAGAGUCAGAAGUUCUUCCGGCAUGUUUGCCUCCCUCUCACGGAACUUCUUUGAUGUGUGUCUCAGUUCACUGGGAGCCAGUAGGCACGAGGGAGAGGCACAUAAGCCUUCGGCCCCUGUGGCUGCUUAGAGCUUGUUGUGGUCUGCACACCCAUCUCUGCCAGGCCCGAGCUUCUGUAAUGGACUAAUCUGAUCCUAGGAUACCCCUGCUGCAGUCAAUAGCAGCCCUCGCCCUGGGAUUGCUCCAUAAUCCCGAAACUCCAGCUCCCAGCUGUUGUGCCUUCUGGUGACCUGUGUUCCUGUCUGGGCUCUGGAAUACCUGGCUGAGAGACCUGGAUUAGACUUUUGAGAAGGAUGCUAAAGAGAAAGUGAUGGCCUUGCUCAGUGUGCACCAGCCUGCCUGGCAGCAGCAGUUCACCACAUUUUAAAUGAUGGAGGUUUGGCGAGGGAGAUGAGCAGGAUGGGAGACCCAUUAGAAGAAUGAUACAGCAUUCAGAGGAAGGUUAAAAAUGAAGCAUGUGUUAUAAAUAAUAAAACAUGUC
This is a long non-coding RNA of Bos taurus (domestic cattle), 933 nucleotides long. Lineage: Eukaryota; Metazoa; Chordata; Mammalia; Artiodactyla; Bovidae. The record is from Ensembl.